This 264-nucleotide ribosomal RNA is filed under the name uncultured bacterium. RNAcentral's name for it is "partial 16S ribosomal RNA". It matches the Rfam family "Bacterial small subunit ribosomal RNA", at positions 793 to 1055 of the family's 1533-position model. The record is from RNAcentral.
GUCCACGCCCUAAACGAUGCUGACUAGUUGUUCGGGAUUUACAUCCUGAGUAACGUAGCUAACGCGUGAAGUCAGCCGCCUGGGGAGUACGGUCGCAAGAUUAAAACUCAAAGGAAUUGACGGGGACCCGCACAAGCGGUGGAUGAUGUGGAUUAAUUCGAUGCAACGCGAAAACCUUACCUACCCUUGACAUGUGACUAACGAAGUAGAGAUACAUUAGGUGCUCGUAAGAGAAAGUCAACACAGGUGCUGCAUGGCUGUCGU